GUUAGUCGCUUAGCGAGCGAAACCCUUGUCUCUAGUUGCCAGCGAGUAAAGUCGGGGACUCUAGAGAGACCGCCGGUGUUAAACCGAGAAGGAAGGUGGGGAUGACGUCAAGUCCUCAUGGCCCUUAUGGCUAGGGCUGCACACGUCCUACAAUGGCACGCACAAAGGGAUGCAAACUCGCGAGAGCAAGCAAAUCCCAAAAAUCGUGCCCUAGUUCGGAUUGCAGGCUGCAACUCGCCUGCAUGAAGCUGGAAUCGCUAGUAAUCGCGGGUCAGCAUACCGCGGUGAAUGUGUUCCUGAGCCUUGUACACA
Molecule: ribosomal RNA, 312 nt
Filed under: uncultured Planctomycetota bacterium
Lineage: Bacteria; Pseudomonadati; Planctomycetota
Description: bacterial SSU rRNA
Rfam family: Bacterial small subunit ribosomal RNA
Source: RNAcentral